AUUCCAGCUCCAAUAGCGUAUAUUAAAGUUGUUGCAGUUAAAACGCUCGUAGUCGGAUUUCGGGGCCUGCCUGCCGGUCUGCCGAUGGGUAUGCACUGGCAGGCGCGUCCUUCCUUCCGGAGACUGUCCCUACUCUUAACUGAGCGGGGUCGGGAGACGGAUCGUUUACUUUGAAAAAAUCAGAGUGUUUCAAGCAGGCAGCUCGCUCUUGCAUGGAUUAGCAUGGGAUAAUGAAAUAGGACUUUGGUGCUAUUUUGUUGGUUUCGAACACCGAAGUAAUGAUUAAAAGGGACAGUCAGGGGCACUCGUAUUCCGCCGAGAGAGGUGAAAUUCUCAGACCAGCGGAAGACGAACUACUGCGAAAGCAUUUGCCAGGGAUGUUUUCAUUG
RNAcentral lists this ribosomal RNA (389 nucleotides) under Haptolina sp. RNAcentral describes it as "partial small subunit ribosomal RNA". It matches the Rfam family "Eukaryotic small subunit ribosomal RNA", at positions 582 to 975 of the family's 1831-position model. The record is from RNAcentral. Lineage: Eukaryota; Haptophyta; Prymnesiales; Prymnesiaceae.